Molecule: ribosomal RNA, 369 nt
Filed under: uncultured organism
Description: bacterial SSU rRNA
Rfam family: Bacterial small subunit ribosomal RNA
Source: RNAcentral
CGUAGGAUCCGAGCGUUGUCCGGAGUUUACUGGGUGUAAAGGGUGCGCAGGCGGACUGGUAAGUCAGUGGUGAAAUCUCGUCGCUUAACGACGAAACUGCCUUUGAUACUAUCAGUCUUGAGUCCGGUAGAGAUCUGUGGAAUUCCGAGUGUAGCAGUGAAAUGUGUAGAUAUUCGGAAGAACACCAGUGGCGAAGGCAGCAGAUUGGGCCGGUACUGACGCUCAUGCACGAAAGCGUGGGGAUCAAACAGGAUUAGAUACCCUGGUAGUCCACGCCCUAAACGAUGUACACUUGAUGUCGGCCUGUAAGGGUCGGUGUCGGAGCUAACGCGUUAAGUGUACCACCUGGGGAGUACGCUCGCAAGGGUG